AUUGAUUUUAUGCUUGCAUAAAUGAUUUUUGGAUUCGGAGCGAGUGGCGAACUGGUGAGUAACACGUGGGUAACCUGCCCCGAAGCGGGGGAUAACAUUUGGAAACAAGUGCUAAUACCGCAUAAUUAGUUGGAACCGCAUGGUUCCAACUUGAAAGAUGGCUCUGCUAUCACUUUGGGAUGGACCCGCGCCGUAUUAGUUAGUUGGUGAGAUAAAAGCCCACCAAGACGAUGAUACGUAGCCGACCUGAGAGGGUAAUCGGCCACAUUGGGACUGAGACACGGCCCAGACUCCUACGGGAGGCAGCAGUAGGGAAUCUUCCACAAUGGACGAAAGUCUGAUGGAGCAACGCCGCGUGAGUGAUGAAGGUUUUCGGAUCGUAAAACUCUGUUGUUAAAGAAGAACAAGUGUUAGAGUAACUGUUAACACUUUGACGGUAUUUAACCAGAAAGCCACGGCUAACUACGUGCCAGCAGCCGCGGUAAUACGUAGGUGGCAAGCGUCGUCCGGAUUUAUUGGGCGUAAAGCGAGCGCAGGCGGUUUUGUAAGUCUGCUGUGAAAGCCCUCAGCUCAACUGGGGAAGUGCAGUGGAAACUACAAAACUUGAGUACAGAAGAGGAAAGUGGAACUCCAUGUGUAGCGGUGAAAUGCGUAGAUAUAUGGAAGAACACCAGUGGCGAAGGCGGCUUUCUGGUCUGUUACUGACGCUGAGGCUCGAAAGCAUGGGUAGCGAACAGGAUUAGAUACCCUGGUAGUCCAUGCCGUAAACGAUGAAUACUAGGUGUUGGAGGGUUUCCGCCCUUCAGUGCCGCAGCUAACGCAUUAAGUAUUCCGCCUGGGGAGUACGACCGCAAGGUUGAAACUCAAAGGAAUUGACGGGGGCCCGCACAAGUGGUGGAGCAUGUGGUUUAAUUCGAUGCUACGCGAAGAACCUUACCAGCUCUUGACAUCUUCUGCCAACCCAAGAGAUUGGGCGUUCCCUUCGGGGACAGAAUGACAGGUGGUGCAUGGUUGUCGUCAGCUCGUGUCGUGAGAUGUUGGGUUAAGUCCCGCAACGAGCGCAACCCUUAUUAUUAGUUGCCAGCAUUUAGUUGGGCACUCUAGUGAGACUGCCGGUGAUAAA
RNAcentral lists this ribosomal RNA (1123 nucleotides) under uncultured bacterium. Its description in RNAcentral is "bacterial SSU rRNA". It matches the Rfam family "Bacterial small subunit ribosomal RNA", at positions 47 to 1162 of the family's 1533-position model. The record is from RNAcentral.